GACAGAGGUGCCGAGCGUUAGGCGGAAUCACUGGGCUUAAAGCGUGUGUAGGCGGCCCGUUAAGUACCUUGUGAAAUCCCACGGCUCAACCGUGGAACGGCUGGGUAUACUGGCGGUCUUGGGCCACUCAGGGGCGAGCGGAACAAGUGGUGGAGCGGUGAAAUGCGUAGAUAUCACUUGGAACGCCGACGGUGAAAACAGCUCGCUGGGAGUGUGCCGACGCUGAGACACGAAAGCCAGGGGAGCGAACGGG
This 253-nucleotide ribosomal RNA is filed under the name uncultured bacterium. RNAcentral describes it as "partial 16S ribosomal RNA". It matches the Rfam family "Bacterial small subunit ribosomal RNA", at positions 524 to 776 of the family's 1533-position model. The record is from RNAcentral.